This is a transfer RNA of Stereum hirsutum FP-91666 SS1, 101 nucleotides long. It matches the Rfam family "tRNA". From Rfam's summary of the family: Transfer RNA (tRNA) molecules are approximately 80 nucleotides in length. The record is from Rfam. NCBI's taxonomy places the organism in Eukaryota, Fungi, Basidiomycota, Agaricomycetes, Russulales, Stereaceae.
GGCGAGAUGGCCGAGCGGUCUAAGGCGUCAGACUAAGGUGUUCGAGAGCACCAGAUUAUCUGAUCUCUUCGGGGGCGUGGGUUCAAAUCCCACUCUCGUCA